Molecule: ribosomal RNA, 258 nt
Filed under: uncultured bacterium
Lineage: Bacteria
Description: partial 16S ribosomal RNA
Rfam family: Bacterial small subunit ribosomal RNA
Source: RNAcentral
UACGGGGGGGAGCAAGCGUUGUUCGGAUUUACUGGGCGUAAAGGGCGCGUAGGCGGUCGUGACAAGUCACUUGUGAAAUCUCCGGGCUUAACUCGGAACGGUCAAGUGAUACUGUCGGACUAGAGUACAGAAGGGGGCAACUGGAAUUCUCGGUGUAGCGGUGAAAUGCGUAGAUAUCGAGAGGAACACCUGCGGCGAAGGCGGGUUGCUGGGCUGAUACUGACGCUGAGGCGCGAAAGCCAGGGGGAGCGAACGGGG